RNAcentral lists this ribosomal RNA (1466 nucleotides) under metagenome. RNAcentral describes it as "bacterial SSU rRNA". It matches the Rfam family "Bacterial small subunit ribosomal RNA". The record is from RNAcentral.
AGAGUUUGAUCCUGGCUCAGGACGAACGCUGGCGGCGCGCCUAACACAUGCAAGUCGAACGAGAGAGAGGGAGCUUGCUUCCUUGAUCGAGUGGCGAACGGGUGAGUAACGCGUGAGGAACCUGCCUCAAAGAGGGGGACAACAGUUGGAAACGACUGCUAAUACCGCAUAAGCCCACGGCUCGGCAUCGAGCAGAGGGAAAAGGAGCAAUCCGCUUUGAGAUGGCCUCGCGUCCGAUUAGCUAGUUGGUGAGGUAACGGCCCACCAAGGCGACGAUCGGUAGCCGGACUGGGAGGUUGAACGGCCACAUUGGGACUGAGACACGGCCCAGACUCCUACGGGAGGCAGCAGUGGGGAAUAUUGCACAAUGGGGGAAACCCUGAUGCAGCGACGCCGCGUGGAGGAAGAAGGUCUUCGGAUCGUAAACUCCUGUUGUUGAGGAAGAUAAUGACGGUACUCAACAAGGAAGUGACGGCUAACUACGUGCCAGCAGCCGCGGUAAAACGUAGGUCACAAGCGUUGUCCGGAAUUACUGGGUGUAAAGGGAGCGCAGGCGGGCGAUCAAGUUGGAAGUGAAAUCCAUGGGCUCAACCCAUGAACUGCUUUCAAAACUGAUUGUCUUGAGUAGUGCAGAGGUAGGCGGAAUUCCCGGUGUAGCGGUGGAAUGCGUAGAUAUCGGGAGGAACACCAGUGGCGAAGGCGGCCUACUGGGCACCAACUGACGCUGAGGCUCGAAAGUGUGGGUAGCAAACAGGAUUAGAUACCCUGGUAGUCCACACCGUAAACGAUGAUUACUAGGUGUUGGAGGAUUGACCCCUUCAGUGCCGCAGUUAACACAAUAAGUAAUCCACCUGGGGAGUACGACCGCAAGGUUGAAACUCAAAGGAAUUGACGGGGGCCCGCCCAAGCGGAGGAACAUGUGGUUUAAUUCGAUGAUACGCGAGGAACCUUACCCGGGCUUGAAUUGCAGAGGAAGGAUUUGGAGACAAUGACGCCCUUCGGGGUCUCUGUGAAGGUGCUGCAUGGUUGUCGUCAGCUCGUGCCGUGAGGUGUCGGCUUAAGUGCCAUAACGAGCGCAACCCCUCUCCUUAGUUGCCAUCAGGUUAAGCUGGGCACUCUGGGGACACUGCCACCGUAAGGUGUGAGGAAGGUGGGGAUGACGUCAAAUCAGCACGGCCCUUACGUCCGGGGCUACACACGUGUUACAAUGGCAGGUACAGAGAGACGGUUGUACGUAAGUACGAUCAAAUCCUUAAAGCCUGUCUCAGUUCGGACUGGGGUCUGCAACCCGACCCCACGAAGCUGGAUUCGCUAGUAAUCGCGCAUCAGCCAUGGCGCGGUGAAUACGUUCCCGGGCCUUGUACACACCGCCCGUCAAGCCAUGAAAGCCGGGGGCGCCUAAAGUCCGUGACCGUAAGGAGCGGCCUAGGGCGAAACUGGUAAUUGGGGCUAAGUCGUAACAAGGU